This 253-nucleotide ribosomal RNA is filed under the name uncultured bacterium. Its description in RNAcentral is "partial 16S ribosomal RNA". It matches the Rfam family "Bacterial small subunit ribosomal RNA", at positions 524 to 776 of the family's 1533-position model. The record is from RNAcentral.
GACGUAGGGCGCGAGCGUUGUCCGGAUUUAUUGGGCGUAAAGAGCUCGUAGGCGGCUUGUCGCGUCGACCGUGAAAACUCGCAGCUCAACUGCGAGCCUGCGGUCGAUACGGGCAGGCUAGAGUUCGGUAGGGGAGACUGGAAUUCCCGGUGUAGUGGUGGAAUGCGUAGAUAUCGGGAGGAACACCAGUGGCGAAGGCGGUUGCCUGGAGCUUUGCUGACGCUGAGGCGCGAAAGCGUGGGGAGCGAUCCGG